RNAcentral lists this unclassified non-coding RNA (425 nucleotides) under fungal sp. Its description in RNAcentral is "partial internal transcribed spacer region". The stretch from base 1 to 46 matches the Rfam family "Eukaryotic small subunit ribosomal RNA", at positions 1786 to 1831 of the family's 1831-position model. The record is from RNAcentral. Lineage: Eukaryota; Fungi.
AAGUCGUAACAAGGUUUCCGUAGGUGAACCUGCGGAAGGAUCAUUAACACGUAUCCAACGUUAAAACCCCCCGUGAACCUUCAUUAUGCUGGUUGUGCGCCAUCGUAUCGUAGCAAUCCCUGGUAAAUCAUCGCCGAACAGUUUUGAUUCAGGGACCUCUAUUAUAAGAACGAGUCUAACCAUAUAGCAUAUAGCAAUGGACCUGGCAUUCCUCUGCUUGUUAGUGUCUGAAAGUGUCACUAGCUCUGUACGGAUGGCGCAGUAACGAUCGCUAGAGGCCGACACGGCCGGCGACCAGGUCCCUGGGUGAAAGCCCCCUAUAGUCACCUCCAUUGCACGAUUAACGCGGUGUGCGAUUCGUACGCACCCUCCAUAAAAUGCUUAGAACAACUGUUAACAAUGGAUAUCUUGAUGAAGAACGCAGC